UUUGUUCUCCCCCCGGGUGAUAGCAUAUCAUAGCGAGAAAGAAACACAGGGAUGCUCAGUACGCGAGUGAAGCGGCAACAGCUCAAAUUUGAAAUCUGGCCCCAGGCCCGAGUUGUAAUUUGCAGAGGAUGCUUUUGGUGAGGUGCCUUCCAAGUUCCCUAGAACGGGACGCCAGAGAGGGUGAGAGCCCCGUACAGUUGGACACCGAGCCUUUGUAAAGCUCCUUCGACGAGUCGAGUAGUUUGGGAAUGCUGCUCAAAAUGGGAGGUAUAUUUCUUCUAAAGCUAAAUACCGGCCAGAGACCGAUAGCGCACAAGUAGAGUGAUCGAAAGAUGAAAAGCACUUUGAAAAGAGGGUUAAACAGCACGUGAAAUUGUUAAAAGGGAAGCGCUUGUGACCAGACUUGCGUCCGGUGAAUCACCCAGCUCUCGCGGCUGGGGCACUUCGCCGGCUCAGGCCAGCAUCAGCUCGCUGUCGGGGACAAAAGCUUCAGGAACGUAGCUCUCUUCGGGGAGUGUUAUAGCCUGUUGCAUAAUACCCUUCGGCGGGCUGAGGUACGCGCUCCGCAAGGAUGCUGGCAUAAUGGUCAUCAGCGACCCGUCUUGAAACACGGACCAAGGAGUCAACCUUAUGUGCGAGUGUUCGGGUGUCAAACCCCUACGCGUAAUGAAAGUGAACGCAGGUGAGAGCUUCGGCGCAUCAUCGACCGAUCCUGAUGUUCUCGGAUGGAUUUGAGUAAGAGCAUAUAGGGUUGGACCCGAAAGAAGGUGAACUAUGCGUGUGUAGGGUGAAGCCAGAGGAAACUCUGGUGGAGGCUCGCAGCGGUUCUGACGUGCAAAUCGAUCGUCAAACAUGCGCAUGGGGGCGAAAGACUAAUCGAACCUUCUAGUAGCUGGGUUUCCGCGAGCUUCUCUCUCCGCGAGAUGAUGAUAAA
This 934-nucleotide ribosomal RNA is filed under the name Colletotrichum sp. ETHCTR098. Its description in RNAcentral is "eukaryotic LSU rRNA". It matches the Rfam family "Eukaryotic large subunit ribosomal RNA", at positions 1 to 988 of the family's 3401-position model. The record is from RNAcentral. Lineage: Eukaryota; Fungi; Ascomycota; Sordariomycetes; Glomerellales; Glomerellaceae.